UGAUAAAGUAGAGAACAAGGAAUACAAGAUGAAAGCAUGUGAUAGAUCUAUUGUGAAUUGACUGUAUGUUCAUCAAAUGAAAGAACAAAUGGAGCAAUUUCAAAAUCAGAAGAAGCAAAGCAAUAAAGAAGUACUGAAUUUUCUGGUGAUAAACUAAGAAGAAGAAGCAAAUAUGAACACAUGUGAUACUUGAAGAAGAGAAAAUUAUUCUUGUGCAAGGAGCUUUUGAUAUCUUUUAAACUUCUCUGAAAAAAAUGAUGCAAAGAAGAGUCCAACAAUUAGAUUUAUUUUCUUGUCAAAUAGACAAAGGUGAAAAUGAAUUAGGGCUUUGUACUCGUAUCUUCUUUGAUCCAGCAGAUGAGGAUGAAAAGGAACCAGGUGUUUUUAUUACUGAAAUUGCUGAAGGGGGUGCAGCCCACAAACUUGGAUGGAUUGAAAUUGGAAGAGAGCCACCUGAAGUCAAGACAGAACUCAUCAUACUCCUUGAAUUGUCAGAGGAAAGGAAGAAAUUUUUUACAGAUUCAGUCAUAGUUCAGGAAAAAGUUGGAGAUAUCAAAAUUGUGAAAGGAAAAGCAAGAAAUUCUAAAACUCCGAAAAUAUCAUGGCUCUGGAUCACCAGAGAACUGGAAUUAAAAAAUGAAGAGAUGGAAUUGAAAAGAAUAAUAGAAGAAGAAGGUCAGAAAUAUAAAAAAGACCUCAAGGAAAUUGAUGAAAUGACUAACAACUUGAUAGAGAAACUUAAAAAAUACGUGAACAUAUCUGAAGUGAAUAUCGGAAAUCAGCCUGAGGAGACAGUAAAAGAAGAUAUAACAACAGGGCAAUUAUUGGCCGCAGAGGACAUCAGUUUAGAUAUCACAAUUAAAAAAGAACAAGUAGCAGAAUUAGUAGAAGAGGAGAUCAGCAGUGGCAAACCUGCAGUGGGAAAAGCUCCAAUGCAGUUUUCCUGGUUUUGCAAUGUCCAAGGAUACAAUUGGAGGAACUUCUUUUGUUUUAAAAAACAUGAUAAACAAGUAAAGAAUGUGCGCAAGCAGGAAGAAACUGACCUAAAGCUGCUGGUGUCUGACUGGACAGAAACUCAAGUUGGCCAUUGGUUAAAGAGUAUUGGAAUGAAAAAAUAUAUCCUGAAAUUUGAUUAUAAAAGAGUAAGCAGUCAAGAACUUCUUGAAUUAGACAAUGAUGCAUUAAAAGUAAGCUUCAGAAUUGGCUUUUUAUAUAUGCUACAUACAAUUAUAUAUUAACUUAUUUUAUGGUGGGCAUUGGAUGAAAAACAGUACAAAUAAUGGGAUUCCUAUAUAUGGCCUAUUUGACAACCUUAUGGUUUUAAGGAAAACAUGUUAACUACUUUUUUGAAUGUAGUUUCAAGAAAUGUUUUUAAUGUGAUUUGCUCCCCCCUUUUUUUAGUAUUCCUGCCAUAUGGUCAUUCCUUUUUAUUUCUAUUUAUUUAUUGAAACCUUAUACCUUCCGUCUUAGAAUAUAUAACAUAUAAAUUUCCAAAGAAAAAGAAUUUUAAGGGGUGGGCAAUGUGAGGCAAGUGACUGUCUCAGCAUCAUACUUCUAGGGGGUCACAUUUGAAACCAGGACCUCUUUUCUCUAGGUUUGGUUCUCAAUCUAUUGAGCCACCAUUCUUUUUUUUUAAGAAUUCUAUUUAUUAACAAACACUGGAAAGCAGAAAAGCAAUAUUUUAAUUUUUGACCAGGCAGAUUAACUUCACUGAAACAGAUUAAAAAACAGUAAUCAUGGGAAAUGGCAAGCUUUCAUUUCAUUUAUAGUAAAUACAAUAUCAAUAUUUUAAACUUUAAAUAUUAAAUAUUGGUUAGUAUAACAUCUUUGUCAUUGACUAGAGGUACUAGAGGAAUAUGAUAAUUGACUACACAAAACCCUGAAAUAUAUUCUACUUGGAUUCAUUUGCCACAUAAGAAAAUAUUAGGAGGAUUUUUUAAAAUAUAGCUUCUUUCACAAUUAUUUCUAAAAUGUUCCUAAUGUAUUCUAUUUAAGUAUCUCUAAGCUAUAAAUUUCUGAUAUUCUCGGUUCUUCCAUUUGAAGACAAAUGAAAAUUAUGCAAUUAAAAAUAAUAAAAAAUGCAUAGUGUUUCA
Molecule: long non-coding RNA, 2093 nt
Filed under: Monodelphis domestica (gray short-tailed opossum)
Lineage: Eukaryota; Metazoa; Chordata; Mammalia; Didelphimorphia; Didelphidae
Description: lncRNA (ENSMODG00000044181.1)
Source: RNAcentral